UAAAGCCUUUGGGUUCUGUUCAGGUGUCCUUGCUGAGAGCCAACACACAGGUAAAGCUGGAUUUUCCAGAAACAGAAAAGGCUGAUACCUUCCACGGAGCAAAGACAGAGUAAGAGAAAAAGGUCAAGAAAAAGCAAGAACGACAACGAAGAUGGCCCCUGGAACUACAGGUGCUCCUGGACUCCAUGGCACGCUGAGAUGCCUUAAGGCACCUGUGUCGCCUUGACCGUCGUGCCUCCCGCCUCCCUGCCCGGCGCUGGCAAGAGUCAGUUGGAGAAAGCUGAUCUUCUCUGUUGUUGCAACCCAGCAAGACUAUUUACUACACCAUGAUGGCAGCAGUCGCCCAAAUAGGAGACCCCAAGCUUCCCUAGGCUGUAGACUGGGAAAUUGAGAAAACAUCUUGAAAGAAGACCAUGACAAAUACUUUCAUCUCUCUACCGAGAACACAACAUGGAAGGGCCAGGAAUCAAGCUUGUCUCAAAUUAUCAUAUGUUAUAAGGCCUCUUCACAAAUCUUCCUUCUUUGUGAUAGUUUAAUUUUUGUUUUUUGGCAUGCAACUUAAGCUUUUGGAGGUAAAAAAAUACCACUUAGUAGCGAGGAGAGGGAGUUUUUGAAAAUAAUAAAGGUACCUUAUUAAAUAAUCAUAAAUCAGUACUUCAUAUACCCCACAGUUGAGUCUUGGUUUUUGAAGGAAGCUUGGAAGUUAAGCUCUUGGUCAGAUUAAAUGUGGAAUCAGGUUAAUCCAAGGUCUCUGCCAAAAAAUGUGCCAUUCCUAAUUCUGGGUGACAUGGAAGAUUUACACUGCUUAAA
Molecule: long non-coding RNA, 810 nt
Organism: Python bivittatus (Burmese python)
Lineage: Eukaryota; Metazoa; Chordata; Lepidosauria; Squamata; Pythonidae
Source: RefSeq, a predicted model, not a curated record